RNAcentral lists this ribosomal RNA (460 nucleotides) under uncultured bacterium. RNAcentral describes it as "partial 16S ribosomal RNA". It matches the Rfam family "Bacterial small subunit ribosomal RNA", at positions 338 to 795 of the family's 1533-position model. The record is from RNAcentral.
CCUACUGGAGACAUCAUUGAGGAAUAUUGGCCAAUGGACGAGAGUCCGAACCCUCCCCUUCUCUUUCCUUCUUCCUUCCCUCUUUUUUUUCCCCUUCUUUUCUCUUUUAAUAAAAUGUUCCACGUGUGGGAUUUUGUAUGUACCAUAUGAAUAAGGAUCGGCUAACUCCGUGCCAGCAGCCGCGGUAAUACGGAGGAUCCGAGCGUUAUCCGGAUUUAUUGGGUUUAAUGGGAGCGUAGGUGGAUUGUUAAGUCAGUUGUGAAAGUUUGCGGCUCAACCGUAAAAUUGCAGUUGAAACUGGCAGUCUUGAGUACAGUAGAGGUGGGCGGAAUUCGUGGUGUAGCGGUGAAAUGCUUAGAUAUCACGAAGAACUCCGAUUGCGAAGGCAGUUCACUGGACUGCAACUGACACUGAGGCUCGAAAGUGUGGGUAUCAAACAGGAUUAGAUACCCGGGUAGUC